GGGUUGUGAGGUUAAGCGACUAAGCGUACACGGUGGAUGCCCUGGCAGUCAGAGGCGAUGAAGGACGUGCUAAUCUGCGAUAAGCGUCGGUGAGGUGAUAUGAACCGUUAUAACCGGCGAUUUCCGAAUGGGGAAACCCAGUGUGUUUCGACACACUAUCAUUAACUGAAUCCAUAGGUUAAUGAGGCGAACCGGGGGAACUGAAACAUCUAAGUACCCCGAGGAAAAGAAAUCAACCGAGAUUCCCCCAGUAGCGGCGAGCGAACGGGGAGGAGCCCAGAGCCUGAAUCAGUGUGUGUGUUAGUGGAAGCGUCUGGAAAGGCGCGCGAUACAGGGUGACAGCCCCGUACACAAAAAUGCACAUAUUGUGAGCUCGAUGAGUAGGGCGGGACACGUGGUAUCCUGUCUGAAUAUGGGGGGACCAUCCUCCAAGGCUAAAUACUCCUGACUGACCGAUAGUGAACCAGUACCGUGAGGGAAAGGCGAAAAGAACCCCGGCGAGGGGAGUGAAAAAGAACCUGAAACCGUGUACGUACAAGCAGUGGGAGCCUCUUAAUGGGGUGACUGCGUACCUUUUGUAUAAUGGGUCAGCGACUUAUAUUCUGUAGCAAGGUUAACCGAAUAGGGGAGCCGAAGGGAAACCGAGUCUUAACUGGGCGUUAAGUUGCAGGGUAUAGACCCGAAACCCGGUGAUCUAGCCAUGGGCAGGUUGAAGGUUGGGUAACACUAACUGGAGGACCGAACCGACUAAUGUUGAAAAAUUAGCGGAUGACUUGUGGCUGGGGGUGAAAGGCCAAUCAAACCGGGAGAUAGCUGGUUCUCCCCGAAAGCUAUUUAGGUAGCGCCUCGUGAAUUCAUCUCCGGGGGUAGAGCACUGUUUCGGCAAGGGGGUCAUCCCGACUUACCAACCCGAUGCAAACUGCGAAUACCGGAGAAUGUUAUCACGGGAGACACACGGCGGGUGCUAACGUCCGUCGUGAAGAGGGAAACAACCCAGACCGCCAGCUAAGGUCCCAAAGUCAUGGUUAAGUGGGAAACGAUGUGGGAAGGCCCAGACAGCCAGGAUGUUGGCUUAGAAGCAGCCAUCAUUUAAAGAAAGCGUAAUAGCUCACUGGUCGAGUCGGCCUGCGCGGAAGAUGUAACGGGGCUAAACCAUGCACCGAAGCUGCGGCAGCGACACUAUGUGUUGUUGGGUAGGGGAGCGUUCUGUAAGCCUGUGAAGGUGUACUGUGAGGUAUGCUGGAGGUAUCAGAAGUGCGAAUGCUGACAUAAGUAACGAUAAAGCGGGUGAAAAGCCCGCUCGCCGGAAGACCAAGGGUUCCUGUCCAACGUUAAUCGGGGCAGGGUGAGUCGACCCCUAAGGCGAGGCCGAAAGGCGUAGUCGAUGGGAAACAGGUUAAUAUUCCUGUACUUGGUGUUACUGCGAAGGGGGGACGGAGAAGGCUAUGUUGGCCGGGCGACGGUUGUCCCGGUUUAAGCGUGUAGGCUGGUUUUCCAGGAAAAUCCGGAAAAUCAAGGCUGAGGCGUGAUGACGAGGCACUACGGUGCUGAAGCGACAAAUGCCCUGCUUCCAGGAAAAGCCUCUAAGCAUCAGGUAACAUCAAAUCGUACCCCAAACCGACACAGGUGGUCAGGUAGAGAAUACCAAGGCGCUUGAGAGAACUCGGGUGAAGGAACUAGGCAAAAUGGUGCCGUAACUUCGGGAGAAGGCACGCUGAUAUGUAGGUGAAGCGACUUGCUCGUGGAGCUGAAAUCAGUCGAAGAUACCAGCUGGCUGCAACUGUUUAUUAAAAACACAGCACUGUGCAAACACGAAAGUGGACGUAUACGGUGUGACGCCUGCCCGGUGCCGGAAGGUUAAUUGAUGGGGUUAGCGGUAACGCGAAGCUCUUGAUCGAAGCCCCGGUAAACGGCGGCCGUAACUAUAACGGUCCUAAGGUAGCGAAAUUCCUUGUCGGGUAAGUUCCGACCUGCACGAAUGGCGUAAUGAUGGCCAGGCUGUCUCCACCCGAGACUCAGUGAAAUUGAACUCGCUGUGAAGAUGCAGUGUACCCGCGGCAAGACGGAAAGACCCCGUGAACCUUUACUAUAGCUUGACACUGAACAUUGAGCCUUGAUGUGUAGGAUAGGUGGGAGGCUUUGAAGUGUGGACGCCAGUCUGCAUGGAGCCGACCUUGAAAUACCACCCUUUAAUGUUUGAUGUUCUAACGUGGGCCCCUUACCGGGGUUGCGGACAGUGUCUGGUGGGUAGUUUGACUGGGGCGGUCUCCUCCUAAAGAGUAACGGAGGAGCACGAAGGUUGGCUAAUCCUGGUCGGACAUCAGGAGGUUAGUGCAAUGGCAUAAGCCAGCUUGACUGCGAGCGUGACGGCGCGAGCAGGUGCGAAAGCAGGUCAUAGUGAUCCGGUGGUUCUGAAUGGAAGGGCCAUCGCUCAACGGAUAAAAGGUACUCCGGGGAUAACAGGCUGAUACCGCCCAAGAGUUCAUAUCGACGGCGGUGUUUGGCACCUCGAUGUCGGCUCAUCACAUCCUGGGGCUGAAGUAGGUCCCAAGGGUAUGGCUGUUCGCCAUUUAAAGUGGUACGCGAGCUGGGUUUAGAACGUCGUGAGACAGUUCGGUCCCUAUCUGCCGUGGGCGCUGGAGAACUGAGGGGGGCUGCUCCUAGUACGAGAGGACCGGAGUGGACGCAUCACUGGUGUUCGGGUUGUCAUGCCAAUGGCACUGCCCGGUAGCUAAAUGCGGAAGAGAUAAGUGCUGAAAGCAUCUAAGCACGAAACUUGCCCCGAGAUGAGUUCUCCCUGACUCCUUGAGAGUCCUGAAGGAACGUUGAAGACGACGACGUUGAUAGGCCGGGUGUGUAAGCGCAGCGAUGCGUUGAGCUAACCGGUACUAAUGAACCGUGAGGCUUAACCUUACAACGCCGAAG
Molecule: ribosomal RNA, 2925 nt
Filed under: Escherichia coli
Lineage: Bacteria; Pseudomonadati; Pseudomonadota; Gammaproteobacteria; Enterobacterales; Enterobacteriaceae
Description: bacterial LSU rRNA
Rfam family: Bacterial large subunit ribosomal RNA
Source: RNAcentral